Molecule: ribosomal RNA, 405 nt
Filed under: uncultured bacterium
Lineage: Bacteria
Description: partial 16S ribosomal RNA
Rfam family: Bacterial small subunit ribosomal RNA
Source: RNAcentral
GACGAACGCUGGCGGCGUGCUUAACACAUGCAAGUCGAGCGGAGCGGCGAACGGGUGAGUAACGCGUGAGUAACUGACCCCCUCUCUGGGAUAACAGUUGGAAACGGCUGAUAAUACCGGAGAGGGGGGGUUGACUCGCGUCCUAUCGGCUUGUUGAGGGGGUAGUGGCCUACCAAGGCGACGACGUGUAGCCGGCCUGAGAGUGCGACCUGCCUCAUUGGGAUGCGAUACUGCCCAAACUCCUACGGGAUGCAGCAGGGGGGACUCUUGCACAAUGGGUGAAACCCUGAUGCAGCAUCGCCGCGUGCGGGAGGACGGCCUUCUGGUUGUAAACCGCUUUCAGCCAUGACGCGUUAGUGGCAGAAGAAGCACCGGCUAACUACGUGCCAGCAGCCGCGGUAAUAC